RNAcentral lists this transfer RNA (72 nucleotides) under Coprococcus sp. RNAcentral's name for it is "tRNA-Arg". It matches the Rfam family "tRNA". Rfam says of the family: Transfer RNA (tRNA) molecules are approximately 80 nucleotides in length. Lineage: Bacteria; Bacillati; Bacillota; Clostridia; Lachnospirales; Lachnospiraceae. The record is from RNAcentral.
GCACCAGUAGCUCAGUGGAUAGAGCAACGGCCUCCGGAGCCGUGUGCGGAGGUUCGAUUCCUCUCUGGUGCG